Vicugna pacos (alpaca) is the source of this 7698-nucleotide non-coding RNA. Lineage: Eukaryota; Metazoa; Chordata; Mammalia; Artiodactyla; Camelidae. The record is from RefSeq and is a predicted model, not a curated record.
UAUGAUUCACAGCAACAUGGAUGGACCUAGAGAUUGUCAUACUAAGUGAAAUGGGCCAAGUGAGGAGCAGGAAGGGCGAGGACAUGUCUGUGCAGCCUCCAGCAUCCCUCUCCUCUGUGAACGGGACCCCUACGAGGAGGCCCUCGGACCGGCCAUUCCAGACGCUGGCCCAUUUGGUGACCAGACCCCGCGCCCGUCCCUCUGUGGAGCUGACAGCGGGCAGACUGGCAGAUCUACGCGGAGGCUCAGGGCUGCAGACAAUGGAGGAUUUCAUCCCGUGAGAGGGUUCGAAGCCAAGCCGGGAAUUAAAGGACAAUUCUUUACUCAACUCACACUCUUACCCAACCAACCAGUGAGAUGGCGUGAUGUCUGGAGACCUCGAACGCUUCCUCGUCUGUCCAUCUCAGGUGUGAUGGAGCUGGUGGAGGCCACAGGCUUAGGUUGUAAACUUCACAUGUUAUUCGUGACACUUUCCUGGUUCCAUUAGCAGCUCCAAGGCCAUAUUUACACUUAUGUUAAAAUGACUUUUAUAUCUCUCUUUUCCUGGGGGUGGGGUGGGGGAGGUGCUUAUGAAUCAGCCAAGAUAGAGUGGUUUUAAUGUCCAGACACAAGUUAUCAUUUGAGGUGAAGCUUCCACUGUAACUGCACGAAGUCCUGCUGAAGGAAAUAAUCAGAGCUGACAGGAAACAGCCUUUCUCUCCAAGGGAAACAGAGACUUUGGUUUGCCGUGGGGCUUGGGGAAAGGCGGAGCUUCCCCACCCAAAGAAACAGUUCCCUGCUGACUGCAAGUUUCUGUCCUGUUGAUUGUUCUGUUUGGAAGUCUGGGAAGACAGACGAAAGUUGCAGAAAUUCCCCCAGAUUGUUGGUUCCAGGGUCUGCUGAGGGGACUCUGUCAGCAUUGACUGCAAACCCCACCUGGUCCUGCUGGGAGGAAGACCUGCCCAAGGAUGGGUUAAGACCCACCUCCGGGGGGGCUGUGCUCACUGGCUUUGAUCCAAGAGCUGCUGACCUCUCCCCUUGCCAAGGUCCCCUUCCCCUGCCUAUAAGACCAAAAUUCCCUCUCAAUCACCUUCUCCCUCGUGCUGCCCCAGAUGGGGAGCCAAGUGGGAGCUGACGGAGAAGGAUGGGAGAAGCAUGGUCCACAGACCAGGAGCCUCUCUCUGCAGGCUACGAAGCAUCCUGCCUUCUCUUUCUUUGGAAAGCUCCCAUUUCAUGGAGUGGAGGGCCCGAGAUUGCUCUGGAUGCUGCCAUGACCUCAAGGCCAGAGUCUGGGGAGUGCAGGACCCCUAGUCCAAUCAGAAGAGGGGAUCUGAAGUGGGUGUGAACGCUGGGAGGGCCUCCAGGACCGGACGAGGGGUGAGGGCGGGGCCGUGUGUCCAGACCACAGGGAGGCCGGGACCUUCUUACCACAGCCCCGAGCUUGCACCUGACUCGUGGUGAGCACGCGUUGGGGCCCAAGAAUAAACUGGACAAAUGGCAGCAGGAAGGGACCGGCGAGGGGCUGCUGACUGCAUCCGUAAUUGGCACCAGAGCGGCUCGGAACUUCCCGGUAAGGAAAGGGAAAAAGAAAGGAAAACAGAAUGGUAUGCAGCCUCAUUGUCUAACAGAAGAAAACACACCAACUCUUAAGGGAACUUUUUUUUCCCCCUGGCAACAAAUUCUUGGAAGAAUUUAUGUGACAAAACACCCCAGGGGAAUAUCCUGUGGUCAAGAAGGAGGCCACUUUCUAACUCAAGUCUGAGGGGCUUUGGAAAUUCCAGUCUUGCACACGGGAGGAGGGUCAGCCAGGCCACCAUUAUGGUCCAGUGGGCUCCCGCGAAGGAGGUGCUGUGGGCUCCGGGAGGGAUCAGAGGAUGUCCCUCAGAAUAAGGCAAGGAGCUGAGGUUCCCCCAACCCGGGGACUAGAGGUGAAGGCCAAGGGCUAUGACAGAGACCGAGUACCUCAGUUACAUCCUGUCUAUCCUUUGGGACAACAGUUCGGGGGGAGCCAGGAGGGCGGGAGCUUGCUCCCUGGCCGGGGCUGGCUGAAGCAGGCCAAUUGCAAAGGUCAGAAUCAGUGGUCAGCGAUUCACCAAAGCCAGGAAAGCAGCCCUGGGCCUCUGGGAGAAAGGAGCCCCGGGGAGCUCCUGAGUUAUGAGGAUGCAGCUCCUGGGCCUUUUCAGGCUCUGGGUUCAGGGCAGGUCGAGGCUGAAUAAGUCAUGCACGCAGGAAGGAAAGAAAGAGGGAGAGGAGAGGCUAUGGAAGGAGAGGCAGAAAGAAACAGGAAGCUGGGAGGAUGGAGGGCAGGACAGAGGGCCCACGGGACACUGGGUCAGCAGCAGAGGCCAGGCCGAGGCUGUGAUGGGCUGUCCUGCUGCCUCUGCUGUCUGGCUUACCAUGAUUGUAUCAGGGCCUCAGGGAAAACAACCUUACCAGCAAGGGCAGGGUGGGGGGCGUGGGAAGUUGUCCAAAUGGGAGGCCUGGGCCGUUGGCUGCUAGGGAGGUUGGAGGUUAAGAUGCUGUGUUGGCAGAGUGAGGGGAGACCAGAGCAUCGGGGGCAGUGCUGAAUUUAGGGGUCCAGGCAGGGUUUUCCUGGGGAGGUAGACCUGGGUGGAGGGCGACUGUAGAAGCCAUGGAUGAUCUGGCCCACGGUCUCCUCAUCCCUUAAACCAACCCCCCCCCACCACACACACACACAUGGGAUAAAGUCACACUAGUUUUCGGGGAGAAGGGAAGAGAAAUACUAGCAGACUGAAGGGUUAAAUAAGUGACUGGGUGACAGAAGGUGUGAGAGUUUAUCUGUCUGCAGAAUCAGAGAGGAGGGGGCCAUGGCCUGGCCUUGCCUGAGGGCUGCAGUGAGACUCCCAGGCCACCUGGCUGGGAGGGCUGAGGACAGAGGGAUGGAGACGGGUCUGCCUGGACUCUCUGUGGUCCAACUUCUCCACCCACUGGCACAUCUCAGCUCCCCAAGGACUCAAGAAGACUCAGCAUGGCUGCAGAGUCCCCACCCCUUGAAAACAGCAAAGUGCUUCUGGGGACAGAGAAACAUCUUAAGAGAUGCUCAAUUUGACCCCUUUGAGAUUUCAGGAAGAGGUUCCAUCCAAAAACCAAACAACCAAAACCAUCCACCAAACUGCAGAUGCCAGCAUCCUUGUAGACAGGGAGAAAAUAGAUACCUUGACCACAUUGUGAGUGAGCUAUGAAAUCUCUCACCUUGGGCCUUCCCUGUCCUCCUGGACCCAGCCCCCACCCAGCCCAUCUGUAACCGAAUUUAGAGCAAACAAAUUUGGAAGUAGAUUUGAUUGUCUAAAUAUAUGAACCACUAUUUAUUACUUUAGCAGGCGUGAGACAUGAAUUCUUCUCCAUUUUAAUUUUUAAAGUUGUAUAGAAAAUUGCAAGUUUUCAUCAGAAAAAGAUAAUGCUCACGAUCUACUAGAAAUCACGUUUUAUAGAAACUUCCGAGUUUUCCCCAGACAAAAGGCCUCAGGUUUGGGGUUCGCCAUGGGUGUCAACAAGCUGAGCCUUGUCCUUGAAGCAGCCGUGACUCAGCUGAUUCAAAAUAAACUUGAGUGUGAAUUCUUCUCUCCGGAGAUGGAGCAUACAUCCUUGGCACACGCCCUGUGACCACUGCGUCACCUCCGUAACAUCUGCUCAGGGAUGUCGCAAUUGUCCUGACUCACGGGGGAACCACAGGCUGCAAAUGGCCAAGCUGCUCACACACGGCGGGGUGGGCUGCACGUCACCUGCAGUGUGAGUCAGCAGCCAACAGACGCCCUCCAAAAGGAGCAGAAAAAACAAGAGAGCGGCUCGUCCUUGAGAAGGCACCAGGCCACGGUGGUUUGGGGGUUUCGGUGGUAUGCUGCUGAUCAGGAGCGUGACUUGUCAUCCUCGCCAACCAAGUUGGUCAAAAUAGUAACAGUUGUUUCUUUGGGCAGGCAGAGGUCAAGGCUGGGCCAGAAAGGCUGCAUGUGCUUGAGCCCUGGGCCAGGCACCUGCACCGUCCGGGCACCUCCUCUGCCUUCCAGGCCGGUCCUCGGUUGCACCACACUUGGGUCUUCUCUGGCCCCUGCAGUUCCUCCUGCCACGUGCGCAGGGUCCCUUGUGACCCAGCAAAAAGGGAAGUCUCAGCCAGGAAACAAACUGAGGGUUUUGUGCCCACUGUCAGGUCUUCCCGUGACCCUGCUCUGCCGACAGCCCUGCCACCAGCUCUGGAAACAGCACACGGUGCCUGUGGGCUGGGCCUCCAUCACCCCAGGCCCUUCGGAAAGCAGAGCUGAGAGGAGCAAGGGUUUGAGCUUUUGCGUUUGGGAGAUCAGGGCGACCCCGGUUCCGGAGAACUCUGUCCGCGUGUCGUCAAGACUGUAGUUAGGGGAGAACAUUUGGCACCGUUUAUCUUUCAAAUACACACAUGGAGGAAGGUGUCAGCAUGAUAGCCUUGUGACCAACAGAACAGCCCAGUUCUGCAGAGUCCCCUGAGAACGAGAGAGCCUUCACCUUUGGGAGCCGGGUCCCCCACUCAGAGCAUCUGCUAUGGGCCCAAAAGCUUUUCCCAGGAGGCGCUGGUCUGGAGGGAGAGCCCAGAAAGGGGGAGGCUGAUGCUCUCAGGAACCCCUGGAAGAGGCUCCAGGGCUCAGGGACAGGUAAUUGUCAUCAAGGCUGGAGUUCAGGCGAGGCCCGUCAGAAGAAAGCCUUGGUACUGUGCUUUGAAAGCUGACCCCAGAGCUCUCCAAUUCGAAUUCUUUUUCUUUUCUCCAAUUCUGGGCUUCUCCACCUGGUCCUUCCACAGCGUACAGCCUCAGCAGGCCCCCUGACAGCUGAAGCCCGGCUCCCGGGCCUGCCCGGGUCUGCUCGCCCUUCACCAUCUCCGCCUCUCACGCCCCAGGCACCAGCCUCGUGUCUCCUCGCCAUGAGGAUCUGACGUCCAAAAGCCCCCAGUGCCCCAGUGCUGGGUUAUUAGGGUCAUAACCUCUGACCAUUUCCCCCAAAACGCACACAAAUAAAAACAACAAAUACACAAUUUUAGGAUGUUGAAGUUUCCUCGAAUCUAGAUUAGGUGCCUCUGGAUGCAUGAAACUCUGGCCCAUAGACAUCAAAUAACUCCCCAUGCCCACACUGCGCUCUCUGGUAACAAGUACAAAGCGAGCCCUCUGACCAGGCUCUCAUUGGAAAGGAUCUUUCUUGAGCUUGACCUCCUCUUUUGAGAAUCUAAUGAAAGCCAUGGAUUUUUCCCCCCAUGAAAUGCACGUAAUCCUAAUAUGGCUGCAAUUUAGCGUUUGUUUUGGGAAGUUUCACACUCUUCCUGAAGUCAGUUCAUGAAAAUCCAACUCUGCUUUCUGAUGACAUUCAAUUAAUUCUGAGUCCAAGCACACCCUCUCCCCUGAUGCCCCAAUUAGGAUGAUUCCUCCUCCAUGGGGGUCUCCCCUGAACCCCCAACUGGAAAUCCUCUUCCCUUCCUUGGGUUUCCACACUCAUGCUCUGGCUCUCCGCCCUGUGACACCCCAGGGGUCAAGGCUGUGGGGGUCCCUGUAUCUCUUGCCAUGGACUUAUGGUCAACAUGUCAUUUUUUAAUUUAUUCAAUUUUUGAAGAGGGCUCAUGGAAUAAGGGACCGUGGCUGUCUUCUUCAAUGCACUGGACAUGUGAGUCUCUCCCGCCCAAAUGUUAAAGCAUAUUGAGCAGAAGAGACAACUUGGUUGGAUCUAAGUUUGCUUAUUGGAUCAGAAAUAUAACAGAACCAGGAGAAGGGCAACUGAUCAAAGUCUGGAUGAGGAGACGUCAAAAAGAGUGAGAAUUUUUAAUCCAUGAAGAUGGUGGCCAAGAGAGCAUGUAUGUAAUAUCAAGGAAAUCAUAAAGACUCUCACUAACACAUCCUGGGAUGUACUUACCAAAAUUGAAACUCCUCAAAUUAAGGGGACCUGCAAAAAUAGAAAGAGACAGCAUCGUCUAUUGGCUCCAGCACUAAUUCGUGUAGUGGGUAAGGGAAACAUACGGCUCUCAUUAAUCUGAGAGGUUAUAGACACAAAUAUAGACAAAGAAAGGUUUAGAGAUUGCUGAAAGAAAUGAAAGAAGACCCAAAUAAAUGGGAAGACAUCCCGUGUUCACAGGUAGCCAGACUUAAUAUUGUCAAGAUGUCAGUGUGACCCAAAGCAAGCUACAGAUUCAAUGCAAUCCUUAUCCAAGUUUCAACAACCUUUUUCACAGAAAGGAAAAAGCCUAUUUUCAAAUUCACAUGGAAUCUCAAGGGGCCCGAAAUGUCCAAAACAAUCUUGAAAAAGAAAAAGACAGUCAGAGAAUGUACACUUCCUGAUUUUAAAACUUACUACAAAGCUAUAGUAAUCCAAAGAGUGUGACACUAGCAUAAGAACAGAUACACAGAUCAGAGGAACAGAAUAGGGAGUUCAGAAAUAAACCCACACAUCCAUGGCCAACUGAAUGUUUGACCAGAGUGUCAAGUCCAUUCAGUGGGAAAGAACAAUCUCUUUAACAAAUGGUGCCAGGACAACUGGAUUUCCACAAGUACAGGAAAGAAGUUGAACCUUUAUCUCAUAUCACAUACAAAAAUUAGCUCAAAUUCAAUCAAUGACUUUAAUAUACAAACUAAAACCAUAAAACUCUUAGAAGUAAACAUAGAAUUGAAUCUUCAUGAUGCCAUACUUGGCAGUAGAUUCUUAGAUUUGACACCAAAGGCAUAAGUAACAAAAGAAAAAAAUAGUUCAACGAGACUUCAUUAAAAGUAAAGACUUUUAUGCACCAAAGGACAUUAUAAGGAAAGUAAAAAGACAAUUUACAGAACGGGAGAAAAUAUUUGAAAAUCAUAUAACUGGUAAAGACUUGAUAGCCAGAGUAUAUAAACUACUCCUACAGCUCGACAACAAAAGACAAUUUAAAAAUGUGGAAAGGACUUGAAUAGACAUUUCUCCAAAGAAGGUACACAGCUGGCCAAUAAGCAUAUGAAAAGACAUUAACAUCAUUAGUUAUCAGAAGAAUGCAAUCAAAAACAAUGCAAAUCAAAACCACAAUGACACACUACUUCAGACCCACUAGGAUGGUAAUAACAAUAAAAUACUACUAAAAAUGGGGAAGAUGUGGUGUAAUUAAAACUCUUGUGUGUUGCUGAUGGGAAUGUAAAAUGAUACAGCUGCUCCGGGAAACUGGUGUUUCCUCACAAAUCUAAAGAUAGAAUUACCAUAUGACUCAGCAUUUCCACUCCUAGGUAUAUAACCCAGAGAAUUAAAAACAGGGGCUUACACAGGUACUUGUAGGUCCACGGUCAUUGCGGCAUUAUUGACAAUAGCUAAAAGGCAGAAACAAUCCAAAUGUCCAUCAACGAAUGACCAGAUAAAUCAUAUAUGCUGUAUACUUACAAUGGAGUAUUAUUCAGCCUUAAAAAAGAUGAAGUGCUGAUACAUACUGCAACGCGAAUGAACCUUUAAAACACUGUGUUAAUUAAAGAGAGCCAGACACAAAGGGACAAAUAUUAUAUGAUUCCACUUAGAAGAGCUACCUAGAACAGGAAAAUUCAUAGUGAGAGAAAGUGCAUUGGUGGUUACCAGGGGCUUGGGGAAGGGAGACUGGGGAGUUAUGGGUUAAUGGGCACAGAAUUUCUGUUUGGGUGGAUGAAAAAGUUUUGCAAAUAGAUAGUGGUGACGGUUCCGUAACACUGUGGAUGUACUUAACGUCACUGAGUUGUAUACUUUUUUAUAAAGAAGUGUUUCGAGAAA